AGUUUAAUUUUGAGUUUUUGAUAACAUUGACAUUCAAGUUUUUUCAAAUAAUAAACCUUCAAAAUAUUAGACUUACCAAAUAAUAUAAUACACAAUCAUUUCUCUUAUAUUGAUAUAUGCAAUGACAGAAGAUCUAAAAGUAUUGACUUUAAUGAUACUUUAAUUUUUGCUUUCUUUUUAUU
RNAcentral lists this small RNA (182 nucleotides) under Arabidopsis thaliana (thale cress). RNAcentral describes it as "ATSL150300". Lineage: Eukaryota; Viridiplantae; Streptophyta; Magnoliopsida; Brassicales; Brassicaceae. The record is from RNAcentral.